UGGGGAAUAUUGCACAAUGGGCGCAAGCCUGAUGCAGCCAUGCCGCGUGUAUGAAGAAGGCCUUCGGGUUGUAAAGCACUUUCAGCGGGGAGGAAGGCGUUAAGGUUAAUAACCUUGGCGAUUGACGUUACCCGCAGAAGAAGCACCGGCUAACUCCGUGCCAGCAGCCGCGGUAAUACGGAGGGUGCAAGCGUUAAUCGGAAUUACUGGGCGUAAAGCGCACGCAGGCGGUCUGUCAAGUCGGAUGUGAAAUCCCCGGGCUCAACCUAGGAACUGCAUUCGAAACUGGCAGGCUAGAGUCUUGUAGAGGGGGGUAGAAUUCCAGGUGUAGCGGUGAAAUGCGUAGAGAUCUGGAGGAAUACCGGUGGCGAAGGCGGCCCCCUGGACGAAGACUGACGCUCAGGUGCGAAAGCGUGGGGAGCAAACAGG
RNAcentral lists this ribosomal RNA (429 nucleotides) under Chloroflexota bacterium. Its description in RNAcentral is "Chloroflexi bacterium partial 16S ribosomal RNA". It matches the Rfam family "Bacterial small subunit ribosomal RNA", at positions 355 to 776 of the family's 1533-position model. The record is from RNAcentral. Lineage: Bacteria; Bacillati; Chloroflexota.